Long non-coding RNA from Coregonus clupeaformis (lake whitefish), 732 nucleotides. RefSeq lists it as uncharacterized. The transcript has 2 exons. The record is from RefSeq and is a predicted model, not a curated record. NCBI's taxonomy places the organism in Eukaryota, Metazoa, Chordata, Actinopteri, Salmoniformes, Salmonidae.
GACAGUGACCCCCACUACAGGCCUGAGGCAAGUAAACCAUCCACCCUCUUCAGCGUACAUUGUAUGAAGCCAAUCUACAUAGUUCUGGUCUUGCUGUAACCUCAGCAGGCUAUUUGCAAAUGAAGCUCAUCUGAUAUGAUGACAAAAUUGACCUCUGAGAUGCGCGACCUCAGUGACCCUGGCUGGCUUCAUUGAUGUCCCCUUGCUGUUUGCCCUUUGCUGUGUGUAAUUGGUCUCUGCCCGGCUCUAAUGGUUCCUGCAUGUGAAUGUGCUUCCUUGCCUGGCCAGAUGAUAAUGACCAGAGGCAAGUAUGACCUUGUCUGGAAGGGAGCAGCCCUCCUCCUGAGAGCCCCGGCUGCAGACCUCUCCCACUGGGCUCUGCUCUCUGUCAAGCCUGGAACCCGCCUGCUCCACGCUGCAGCCACACAGCCACACAGCCCAGCCAAGCAGAGCUGGGAGCUGGGAGUACGACGCCACACAGACAAGACAGAGAACUCUUUCCCAUGGUCUCCCCUAGCCCUCACUAGGUUAUUUAUUUCAUCAUCCUAUGAGUAUUGGACAGAUUCCAACAAUACUAGGAAUGAAUCAAUGAAUGAAUAACAAGCAAUAAGAAAACAGUCCAAAUUGAUUUAAUUAUGCUUACUCUGUCUGAGCUAAAAAUGUUGUUGCCUCUAUUCCUGAUUGGGCUAUUGGACCAAACUGGUGAAAAGUUAAACAAUAAGCCAUAGCUUU